RNAcentral lists this ribosomal RNA (253 nucleotides) under uncultured bacterium. Its description in RNAcentral is "partial 16S ribosomal RNA". It matches the Rfam family "Bacterial small subunit ribosomal RNA", at positions 524 to 776 of the family's 1533-position model. The record is from RNAcentral.
UACGUAGGUGGCGAGCGUUGUCCGGAUUUACUGGGCGUAAAGGGAGCGUAGGCGGACUUUUAAGUGAGAUGUGAAAUACUCGGGCUCAACUUGAGUGCUGCAUUUCAAACUGGAAGUCUAGAGUGCAGGAGAGGAGAAUGGAUUUCCUAGUGUAGCGGUGAAAUGCGUAGAGAUUAGGAAGAACACCAGUGGCGAAGGCGAUUCUCUGGACUGUGACUGACGCUGAGGCUCGAAAGCGUGGGGAGCGAACAGG